ACCUCAGAGACCAACUAAGUUAGUUCUGGGUAUAAGCUUUCAUGUGCAUGCACACUUAAGCUUAUACCCAGAACUAACUUAGUUGGUCUCUAAGGU
This 96-nucleotide microRNA precursor is filed under the name Podarcis lilfordi (Lilford's wall lizard). The record is from RNAcentral. Lineage: Eukaryota; Metazoa; Chordata; Lepidosauria; Squamata; Lacertidae.